Non-coding RNA from Perca flavescens (yellow perch), 77 nucleotides. The record is from the annotation of a RefSeq genome assembly. NCBI's taxonomy places the organism in Eukaryota, Metazoa, Chordata, Actinopteri, Perciformes, Percidae.
GGCGCUGUAGCUUAGAGGUUAAAGCGCCUGUCUCUGAUCUAAACAGGAGAUCCUGGGUUCAAAUCCCAGCAGUGCCU